AGAGGUUGUCCUUGCACAGAAAGAUUGGCUAAUGAGUUGUCUCUACCAGAACAGCCUGGGAGGCCAAAAACUUUACUGGCAGGGUGAAUUUGAAAGGUUUUCUUUUAGCAGAGAUAUGAAAUAUGUGGGCUUUUUUGGUUCUUCCCCACUGGCUACAUGCUCAAAAUAUUCUUCCAUACCAGCAUAGCUGUGGCUGCAUGUGGCAUUAGCUGACUUAAAUCCUUGGGGUAGAAACUAAACUUUGGCAGGUAGAUUUGAUGAGAAAAGAAAAAGGGAUUGAGGUGGAGGUUUCUUUGCUUUUAAGUUUGGUAUUAAGCAGGGAAAAUAAACCCUCCUGAGCACAGGAAACUAUAUCGAGCAAGUCGGUCUCAGGGAGAAGCAGGAGUCUGCUGCACAUGUUGGAAUCUUAUAAGCAUCACAGUAGACGAGCACAGUCAGAGCUUCUUGUAUGGGCACACUGAAACCAUCUAGCUUCCUUCUGCACACGGACUGGCGUGAUGAGCUUCUGCAGGACUGGCCGAGCACCCAGGAGUCAACCUACAGGGGACAGUCAGCCGUGCUGCAAAACCCCAGUUCAGUCUGACGAGUAAAGCACUGAAGUCCAGCAAGACCAUUAAGAGCAAAUCAAAACGAAGAAGAAAAGCUGAAGCAUGAGUAAUCAAACGGAAACGUGGCACCAGGUCAAAGUAAAACACCAAGUGCAAGGCAGUCCCAGGGGCAAAUCCAAGAGCAGUCAGUUGGCUGCAAGCUUGGAUUGUGGAGGCCUCCAGGGCUCGGGGUUUCAGCCAUCCUUGCCUCUAAGGACACCAGCGUGGUCUGCCAAGGCUCUGUGUUGCAAUGCAGAGAAUGCCUUUGUCUGGUAAAUGAUAGGAGAGAAACAAUUCCUGAGCACCACAUGGGGGACCCAGCAGCUGACUACAGGGUUUGAGUCAUAAGUCACAGGCAGAAGAUUGCUUCUCCCCUUCCCCCGCCUUCCCUCAGACAUUUAAAAGGCUCCUAGUAUAUUAGCUCUAGAAAUACAAAAGUGCAACUUAACCAAAUUCGUGUGCCUCAUCAGCACCGGAGAUGAGCUCUGUUUCUCCCCUAAGACUCAAAGUCAUCAGUGCAGCUGCCAGAAUACAAGCUCCCACUGUGCUUAAGGAAAGCUGUUCGCCUGAGUUUGUAGGGCAUGGCUUGCAGUCGUGCUGCUAGCCUUGGCUUCAUGCAGGAGAGAGCUAUAUCUCUGGAAAAGGCACCUGAGAGGGACGUGGGAAUACCUGAGCCCUUCAAGAACGUGCACUGCUGCAGCUGCUCCACGUAGACAGGCUUUCAGGGAUAAAAACAAGCCAUGGGAGAAUCCCCCCUAAAGGCAGCCGAGGUCUUAAUUCACUGCCAGCCUAAACCACCAGCUCAGCGUAUGAAAAUCAGAACAAUAAAACAAACCAGCUCCAGUAAGUUGCAGUUGCUUAACAAGUUCCUAUGCAUCAGCAAAGCUAUUGUAACUGUUCACAUGAGCGUGGCCAGCUACUGCUGGCUGUGAGGGGCUAUGACCCAGCUUCAAACCCAUCUUGCAGUCAGGCCGAGCCCAGAGAAAACCUGGAUGGUAAAGAUAACUCAAACGAUAGGUGGUAGUUUGUGAUGCUGCCAUAUCGCCUGUGCCUUUGGGCUAGAGAAGGAAAGCACAGUGUGGCAGGCAGAGCUUGUCUAAAUCCCAACAACCCUUCUCCCGGCUUUCCAGUAUACUCUGAGGCAGAAUUAACUCAGGAGAAUUCUCUCUCAGCGGUUCUUCAAUUACUGCUGUUAUUAUUUGUAUUGUGAUAGCCUCUAUGGGUCCUCACCACAGCCCAGGCACCCUCGUGCCAGGAAGGGAACACACACAACAAAGGUUGCAGCGCCCAUCAAACACGCACGCUGGAAACUAGAAACCUCGAUCGGCAACUAUGGCCCUGUUUGGGUAGGCACUACCCACACAUGUUGGCGAAGGAACAGUCGAGCUCUCACAGAGAUUAUAGUUUUUCAAAAAUAUGCUGGAAAGGAGCUGCCCUUGGAAGAGAGCAAGAGAGAGAUGACUUCCCUCCUCAAAGCAAGAGCAUCGCCCGCAGUGAAGAGAGCAGUAAGGCCCACGGGGAGAGUUCCUCAAAGCAUGGGUGGUUCCCGAAUCAUUAACUGGAUUCUUUCACAUGCUGUGAAAUAUUCAUACUCUUCCCUAAACAUGUUCAUGAAGAGAGGCGCAGCCCUUUCUUUGCAGACAUUGUCUUGCUGUCUCCGUGUAUCUCUCUACUUAUUGUCUCUUGCCUCUUAUUUGUAAGAGUGCAAGUUCUUUGCAGCAGAGACCAUCUUUCAUCCUCUUUGUAUGGUGGCAGACAAAAGGGGAUACUCUCCAUGACCGCAACACAGGAGGGUAAUACAAAUAGCAUUCCAUGGCUGGUACAGACAGGCUAUGACCAUUGCCAACAAUAAAGACAAGUGGAACUGAUCCAACAGAUCAAACUGUGCCAUUAAAGCUCUGACAGAUGAGCUCUAGCAGAACUUGCCAUGCUACUUUGAGAUGUAACUACAGAGCUCAAGAGCAAUCCUCCUUGAACAAGAAGUGGUCACGCUGAGGGGAGCAAAAGACUGACACCUGGGCCAAAGCUCCCAGAACUCACAGAUCACAGCUUCAGGAAAACAGAACUUGUCUCAAACUCAGUACAUCUUUACGAAGUGCUGAUAGAAGCAGAGUGAACCUCCCUCCAUCUUAAGCUAGUUGAGAAACCAAUUCAGCCAUAUGUGACAAAGCAGCAGCUAGAUUUGCUAAAUCCAGAUUCUUACCUUAAGGAAGGUAAACCCAGUGCUGAGCAAGGGCAAAUACAGAAACUGAUAUGGUUGCUUACUCCUAAAGGGAAAAACAACAGUGCUCCAGUGCCGCCACACACCGUGAAAAAAGGAGAAUAAACUGAAACCAGGCAGUAUUAAAAUGAGAGCCUGGAGGCCAGCAGUUGAGCAGAACAACAUCAAACCAACCAUGCGGGAACAGCUGACUGAUAAGGUGAAGACAGCCUGAAUAACAGCACUGCUCCACCCAGCCUGCAUCAGCACUGAAUCCAACAGGCAGGGAAUCACCAUGGGAGAGAGUAAAACCAUGGAAUUUGACUUCCUGGUAAAUUAUCAAGACACCCCCCAGUUCUAAAAAGUUACCCCUCCCCCCCAAAAAAAAAGAAAAAAAAAAGAACGGGGAGGUGAGGGGUAGAGCAUCAUAUAAAUCAGAGAGCAAGAAUUUCUUGCUGUUAACAGAAGCCAAAAGCUUUUCAGGAAUUCCUUUGGACACAGCCUCCAAAAGAUAGUACAUUUGCCUGAUCCACCUUAAAACAGUACAGCUUUUCAAAGCCUGGUAAUCCAUGAUAACUAGGCCAUAAUCCUUCCCCCUCCAGCCUCACAAAAACCAAUAAAGUCAUUAUUGCCAAAAGGGUGCACUAAAUACAGAUGCAUUCGGCUAUUAAUGGGUUUUGCAACUAUUUGCUGUCUAGUAACAUAAACACUGAACAGAACGCGUGCACCCUUGGGUGCAGGAGAACGUGCUUGAAAAGAGAAAAACGCUUUUCAGAAAGAAAGAGUAAGGCCAUCAGGUGCCUAAGAGAAUCUCAAAGCAGUGCUCUUUAUUUGCAAGUCUGCACUUCUUCAGUACUGAUCUGACAUAUCUGAACCACUUUACUUACCGCAUGUUACAAGCACUACAGCUGCAGCUUGACGGUGAAUGGGUGUUUUUUACACGAUGGUUAUCACAAAGUGUGGUAUCUCAUAUUACCUCUACUUGGGAAAAAUGGUCUUGCUGUCAGCUGCAGCAAAGAGUUCAAGUGCCUCCUUCUAUGCCUCUUUUUCAGUUUUCUGAGACCAACUGACAAAACGCACUGCCUUCCCCUGCUUAAUCGUUGCUGGUAAUGAAACCAGGCUGCAGAGAGCAGAGUGGACUGGUUACCUCUCUAGGUUAAAACUUUACUACUGUGAAGUUGCCAGGACCUGGCAGGACUAAGCAGUUGUGAGUAGCAGCUCCUCUAGGACAUCAUUUAAGCAGCCAGGUUUGGCUGCUGUGAACCUCUGUUGUAACAGCAGCCACAGAACUGAGCUGACCUCCCACAGUAUUGCUGUCUUGCAGGAACAGAGAGAAACAAAUCCAAACAAUUAGGGGGG
Molecule: non-coding RNA, 4146 nt
Organism: Struthio camelus australis
Lineage: Eukaryota; Metazoa; Chordata; Aves; Struthioniformes; Struthionidae
Source: RefSeq, a predicted model, not a curated record